ACCUUCCCUCCUCUUUUGUUUUUCCUUUUUGUUUUUCAUAUUGAAUACAACACCUCGCUGCUUCCUUUCUUUUCCAUUUUGAUUUUUUCCGGCUUUCGCCGCACAUAUACUCACUGCACACUUGUGUGUGAUGCACAUGGAUACUGUGCAUACACAUGUGCAUCGAAUUGGAA
Molecule: non-coding RNA, 173 nt
Filed under: Palpitomonas bilix
Lineage: Eukaryota
Source: RNAcentral